RNAcentral lists this transfer RNA (73 nucleotides) under Synechococcus phage S-PM2. Its description in RNAcentral is "tRNA-Met". Lineage: Duplodnaviria; Heunggongvirae; Uroviricota; Caudoviricetes; Pantevenvirales; Kyanoviridae. The record is from RNAcentral.
AAAUUACCUACAGAGUACAAUCGCUUUUACUUCAAUGACUGCUCCUAAGUUUUAUCUUGUUGCUGGUGACACU